GAAGGACCAGGCCCCUUUCCCUAACAGUCGGCUUCGGGAAUGCUGACCCUGGUGGCCGAUCAGCAACUUUAGAUCCUUCCCCAGAGAUGGAAGGCUACAGGUCAAGUGUUAGUAGAGAGCCCAGCUGAAGGGCUGAUACUGGCUUUCAACUCACUUUCAACUCAUCUCUCCUUCUAGGAGUGGCCCCUGGGCUACAUCCACUUUCAGACUGUGGGGCUGGGCCUGGGCAGCUGAAGCACAGUUGGCACUCAAACCUUGGGACCACUGAGAUGAGCCUGGAAUUUCCAAGAUGCGCUUAAGAGAAGUGCUGGACUCUGCUGCCUAAGGGGCUGAUUGAGAAAGUUUUCACCCAUUUCAAGCAAGAGACUCCUCGCAGUUCGGAUGUCGCUGACAAGGGGGCAGUCAUCGCCCCAUGUCUCCGAGCUUGCUCUCGUGAAGCUCCCGCUGCAGCAGACUUGUGAAGCAUUUGACCUUGCUCCUUGGUGGCUUCAGGUGCAGUCUGUUAAUACUGCUCUGCAACACCCCCUUCACUUAUCAACGCAUCUGGAAGAUUCCUCGGUCUCUGAACAUUUCUUCCCCGGUUCUCUGGCCUACCUUCACGCUUCUGAACAGAAGCUCUUAAUUCUAAAACACUCCAGCUGGUCAGGUUUCCUUUAUGGUUAGUACUUUUUGUAUCCUAUUUAAGAGGCUUUGUUUCUUCAGUAUCACGAAGACCUUCUCUUAGGGUUUCUUACAAAAGCUUCCUUGCUUUCCCUUUCAUAUUAAGAUUUAUGAUCCGCGUGGAGGUGAGUUUUCUGUAGGUAGGAGAUAAAGGCUCGUUUUAUUUUUAUAUGACUGGAUCCAGUUGAUCUGUCCUUAUUUAUUAUAAAGACUAUCCUUUUUUCACUUCACUGCAGUGUCAUCUUUUUUUUUUUUAAAGAUUUUAUUUAUUUACUUGACAGAGAGAGAGGCGGUGAGAGAGGGAAUGCAAGCAGGGGGAGUGGGAGAGGAAGAAGCAGGCCUUCUGCUGAGCAGGGAGCCCGAUGUGGGGCUCGAUCCCAGGGACCUGGGAUCACGCCCUGAGCCGAAGGCAGUCGCUCAACGACUGAGCCACCCAGGCGCCCCUGCGGUGUCAUCUUUAUCCAUUAAUCUGGGGAUCACGAAACUUGUGAGACUUUUUUUUUUUUAAGACUUAAUUUUUUCGUUUUUAUUUUUUUUUAAGAAGGCUCCACAUCCAGCAUGGAGCCCAAUGCGGGGCUUGAACUCAUGACCCUGUGAUCAAGACUUGAGCUGAGAUCAAGAGUCAGACACUUAACCAACUAAGCCAUCAUGCACCCCAAAACUUUAUUAUUAUUUAUUUAUUUUAAAUUUUAUUUAUUUAUUUGGGGGGGAGAGUGAGAAUGGGGUGGGGGGUGCAGAGUGAGAAGCAGGCUCCUCACUGAGCAGGGAGCCCGAUGCAGGAGCCCAGGACCCUGGGAUCAUGACCUGAGCUGAAGGCAGAUGCCCAACCAAUUGAGGCACCCAGGCGCCCCCCACAAGACUUUAUUUUUAAAAAAUAGUUUAAAGUUUAUAGAAAAAUUGAGCAGAAAGUAUGGAGUUCCUAUAUAUCUCCCUAGCCUUUCUCUCUCAACACUUUCCUCUAUUACCAACAUCUGCCAUUAGUGUGGUAUAUUUGUUACAACUG
Ursus maritimus (polar bear) is the source of this 1663-nucleotide long non-coding RNA. The record is from Ensembl. NCBI's taxonomy places the organism in Eukaryota, Metazoa, Chordata, Mammalia, Carnivora, Ursidae.